This 31-nucleotide non-coding RNA is filed under the name Homo sapiens (human). Lineage: Eukaryota; Metazoa; Chordata; Mammalia; Primates; Hominidae. The record is from RNAcentral.
AGCAGGGAACAGAGACAGAAUGAGGAAGAGC